ACCAGUCUAACAGUUCCCCUUCAAAUUUAAACUGAACUUUUCUUCAACAUUUCUGUUUAUUUUUUUUGGACAUUUUUUUCUAGUUUAUCUACAACGUCCUAUAUAUGCAUGAACUAUUUACCACGGGCUGUUCAAUAUCAAACAAAUGGUUUAUGUUGAACCAAUAUACAGUUGCGUUUGGUAGGAUUUAUGAAUUUAAUUUAUCCUUCAGCUAAUGAAAUCAGAUCUGCCAACACUGAGAUUAAAUUAAAUGUUUUGUAUUCAGCUUACAUAGAAUGUUUCAGAUAGCUUCAAUCAUUGUAUAGACUAGUUUAUAUACGGGUAGUCAAAGACACAUUCUCCAUUUAUAAUUUAUAAGGGACUGUCACACAACUGUGUGUUUGGUGUUCUCAAACUAUUGUCAUAGAUAACAAUGGAACUGUUGCUUCAAUUACAAAUGUAUUGUACAAAGACUAAAAUAAUUAAACAUAAGUUAAACUUUUUUCAUCACCAUAAAUGCUGUAAAUUUCUCUAAAUAAUUUUAUCACAAUAUAAAA
This 536-nucleotide long non-coding RNA is filed under the name Mytilus galloprovincialis (Mediterranean mussel). The record is from RNAcentral. Lineage: Eukaryota; Metazoa; Mollusca; Bivalvia; Mytilida; Mytilidae.